GACGAACGCUGGCGGCGUGCCUAAUACAUGCAAGUAGAACGCUGAAGAGAGGAACUUGCUCUUCUUGGAUGAGUUGCGAACGGGUGAGUAACGCGUAGGUAACCUGCCUUGUAGCGGGGGAUAACUAUUGGAAACGAUAGCUAAUACCGCAUAACAAUGGAUGACACAUGUCAUUUAUUUGAAAGGGGCAAUUGCUCCACUACAAGAUGGACCUGCGUUGUAUUAGCUAGUAGGUGAGGUAAUGGCUCACCUAGGCGACGAUACAUAGCCGACCUGAGAGGGUGAUCGGCCACACUGGGACUGAGACACGGCCCAGACUCCUACGGGAGGCAGCAGUAGGGAAUCUUCGGCAAUGGGGGCAACCCUGACCGAGCAACGCCGCGUGAGUGAAGAAGGUUUUCGGAUCGUAAAGCUCUGUUGUAAGUCAAGAACGGGUGUGAGAGUGGAAAGUUCACACUGUGACGGUAGCUUACCAGAAAGGGACGGCUAACUACGUG
This 497-nucleotide ribosomal RNA is filed under the name uncultured bacterium. RNAcentral describes it as "partial 16S ribosomal RNA". It matches the Rfam family "Bacterial small subunit ribosomal RNA", at positions 28 to 507 of the family's 1533-position model. The record is from RNAcentral.